AGAGUUUGAUCAUGGCUCAGAAUCAACGCUGGCGGCGUGCCUAACACAUGCAAGUCGAACGCGAAAGCCCCGCAAGGGGCAAGUAGAGUGGCAAACGGGUGAGUAACACGUGGGUGACCUGCCUUCGAGCGGGGGAUAACGUCCCGAAAGGGACGCUAAUACCGCAUGACAUCCUGCCUUUGAAGAGGCGGAGAUCAAAGCCGGGGAUCGCAAGACCCGGCACUCGAAGAGGGGCCCGCGCCUGAUUAGCUAGUUGGUGUGGUAACGGCCUACCAAGGCAACGAUCAGUAUCCGGCCUGAGAGGGCGGACGGACACACUGGGACUGAGACACGGCCCAGACUCCUACGGGAGGCAGCAGUGGGGAAUUGUUCGCAAUGGGCGCAAGCCUGACGACGCAACGCCGCGUGGAGGAUGAAGAUUUUCGGAUCGUAAACUCCUGUCGAAUGGGACGAAUAGAUUGCGGGUUAACAGCCCGUAGUCCUGACGGUACCGUUAAAGGAAACCCCGGCUAACUCCGUGCCAGCAGCCGCGGUAAUACGGGGGGGGUAAGCGUUGUUCGGAUUACUGGGCGUAAAGGGCUCGUAGGCGGCCAACUAAGUCAUACGUGAAAUCCUCAGCUUAACUGGGGAACUGCGUGUGAUACUGGAUGGCUUGGAUUUGGGAGAGGGAUGCGGAAUUCCAGGUGUAGCGGUGAAAUGCGUAGAUAUCUGGAGGAACCACCGGUGGCGAAGGCGGCAUCCUGGACCAAUAUUGACGCUGAGGAGCGAAAGCCAGGGGAGCAAACGGGAUUAGAUACCCCGGUAGUCCUGGCCCUAAACGAUGAAUGCUUGGUGUAGCGGGUAUCGAUCCCUGCUGUGCCGAAGCUAACGCAUUAAGCAUUCCGCCUGGGGAGUACGGUCGCAAGGCUGAAACUCAAAUGAAUUGACG
This 928-nucleotide ribosomal RNA is filed under the name uncultured bacterium. Its description in RNAcentral is "bacterial SSU rRNA". It matches the Rfam family "Bacterial small subunit ribosomal RNA", at positions 8 to 915 of the family's 1533-position model. The record is from RNAcentral.